This 426-nucleotide ribosomal RNA is filed under the name uncultured bacterium. Its description in RNAcentral is "bacterial SSU rRNA". It matches the Rfam family "Bacterial small subunit ribosomal RNA", at positions 355 to 774 of the family's 1533-position model. The record is from RNAcentral.
UCGAGAAUUUUUCACAAUGGGCGAAAGCCUGAUGGAGCGACGCCGCGUGGGGGAUGAAUGGCUUCGGCCCGUAAACCCCUGUCAUUCGCGAUCAAACCUCGCUAUUUAAAAGAUGGCGAGCUGAUAGUAGCGGAAGAGGAAGGGACGGCUAACUCUGUGCCAGCAGCCGCGGUAAUACAGAGGUCCCAAGCGUUGUUCGGAUUCACUGGGCGUAAAGGGUGCGUAGGUGGUGAGGUAAGUCGGAUGUGAAAUCUCGGAGCUCAACUCCGAAAUGGCAUUGGAAACUGCCUUGCUAGAGGGUUGGAGGGGGGACUGGAAUGCUCGGUGUAGCAGUGAAAUGCGUAGAUAUUGAGAGGAACACCGGUGGCGAAGGCGAGUCCCUGGACAACUCCUGACACUGAGGCACGAAAGCUAGGGGAGCAAACA